RNAcentral lists this ribosomal RNA (440 nucleotides) under uncultured bacterium. Its description in RNAcentral is "partial 16S ribosomal RNA". It matches the Rfam family "Bacterial small subunit ribosomal RNA", at positions 339 to 795 of the family's 1533-position model. The record is from RNAcentral.
CUACGGGUGGCACCAGCAGGGAAUAUUGCACAAUGGACGGAAGUCUGAUGCAGCGACGCCGCGUGGAUGAUGAAGGCCCUCGGGUUGUAAAAUCCUUUUCAGGGGGACGAGGAAGGACGGUACCCUUGGAAUAAGCGUCGGCUAACUACGUGCCAGCAGCCGCGGUAAGACGUAGGACGCAAGCGUUAUCCGGAUUUACUGGGCGUAAAGCGUCUGUAGGCGGAAUGGUAAGUUGGACGUGAAAGCUCCGGGCUCAACCCGGAGAGGUCGUUCAAUACUGCCAAACUAGAGGGCAUCAGAGGAGCGUGGAAUUUCCGGUGUAACGGUAAAAUGCGCAGAUAUCGGAAGGAACACCAAUGGCGAAGGCAGCGCUCUGGGAUGAACCUGACGCUAAGAGACGAAAGCUAGGGGAGCGAACAGGAUUAGAUACCCCGGUAGUC